GCGAGAAUGGCGGAACUGGCAGACGCGCUAGAUUCAGGUUCUAGUGGGGUCACACCCGUGCAGGUUCAAGUCCUGUUUCUCGCACCA
Molecule: transfer RNA, 87 nt
Filed under: Christensenellaceae bacterium
Lineage: Bacteria; Bacillati; Bacillota; Clostridia; Christensenellales; Christensenellaceae
Also listed under: 2 other names
Description: tRNA-Leu
Rfam family: tRNA
About the family: Transfer RNA (tRNA) molecules are approximately 80 nucleotides in length. Their secondary structure includes four short double-helical elements and three loops (D, anti-codon, and T loops). Further hydrogen bonds mediate the characteristic L-shaped molecular structure. tRNAs have two regions of fundamental functional importance: the anti-codon, which is responsible for specific mRNA codon recognition, and the 3' end, to which the tRNAs corresponding amino acid is attached (by aminoacyl-tRNA synthetases). tRNAs cope with the degeneracy of the genetic code in two manners: having more than one tRNA (with a specific anti-codon) for a particular amino acid; and 'wobble' base-pairing, i.e. permitting non-standard base-pairing at the 3rd anti-codon position.
Source: RNAcentral